AUUGAACGCUGGCGGCAUGCCUUACACAUGCAAGUCGAACGGCAGCACGGGAGCAAUCCUGGUGGCGGGUGGCGAACGGGUGAGUAAUAUAUCGGAACGUGCCCAGUCGUGGGGAUAACGUAGCGAAAGCUACGCUAAUACCGCAUACGAUCUAUGGAUGAAAGCGGGGGAUCGCAAGACCUCGCGCGAUUGGAGCGGCCGAUAUCAGAUUAGGUAGUUGGUGAGGUAAAGGCUCACCAAGCCGACGAUCUGUAGCUGGUCUGAGAGGACGACCAGCCACACUGGGACUGAGACACGGCCCAGACUCCUACGGGAGGCAGCAGUGGGGAAUUUUGGACAAUGGGCGCAAGCCUGAUCCAGCAAUGCCGCGUGCAGGAUGAAGGCCUUCGGUUGUAAACUGUCUUUUGUUACGGAACGAAACGGGUACGAGGCUCUAAUACAGUUUGUCUAAUUAGACGGUUAACCGUAA
Molecule: ribosomal RNA, 469 nt
Filed under: uncultured bacterium
Lineage: Bacteria
Description: bacterial SSU rRNA
Rfam family: Bacterial small subunit ribosomal RNA
Source: RNAcentral